GAAGCUAAAGCUUGCAGUGCACCACCGCACACUAUAAAUCUUUCGAGAAACUCUAUUUUCAAAUAUGAUGGCUUAAUUUGAAUCAACAUUGGUCCACUCUACUUAAACCAAAUUAAUAAACGAAAGCAUUAAACUUAAUGACCAUCCCAUGUAAGGCAGCAACAAGUGACUGUUAAACCAAAUCAUAUCAACGAAAGCACGAAAGUUAAUGGUCUUCCCACGUAAAGCACCAACAAGUAACUCCAAAUUAUAAUCUAAAUAAACUAUUAAAAAAAAUUAACAAGAAACUUGCAGUUGCUCUGGCCCUCCAAGUUGCACUGGAACAAUAUUCACAACCAUCGCCAAAAAAGAAGCAUGGCUUUGUCAUGCCCCGAACCCAACAUCCGG
Molecule: long non-coding RNA, 387 nt
Filed under: Elaeis guineensis (African oil palm)
Lineage: Eukaryota; Viridiplantae; Streptophyta; Magnoliopsida; Arecales; Arecaceae
Description: long non-coding RNA (EGUI_LNC019257)
Source: RNAcentral